This 440-nucleotide ribosomal RNA is filed under the name uncultured bacterium. Its description in RNAcentral is "partial 16S ribosomal RNA". It matches the Rfam family "Bacterial small subunit ribosomal RNA", at positions 338 to 795 of the family's 1533-position model. The record is from RNAcentral.
CCUACGGGCGGCAGCAGUAGGGAAUUUUGCGCAAUGGGCGAAAGCCUGACGCAGCAACGCCGCGUGAUCGAGACGCCCUUCGGGGUGUAAAGAUCUGUCAGUGGGGGCGAAACUUGACGGUACCUACAGAGGAAGCACCGGCUAACUCCGUGCCAGCAGCCGCGGUAAUACGGGGGGUGCAAGCGUUGUCCGGAAUCAUUGGGCGGAAAGAGUGCGUAGGCGGCACGUAAAGUCUGGUGUUAAAGGCAGAGGCUCAACUUCUGUACGGCACUGGAUACUUGCGAGCUAGAGUGCGGUAGAGGUAAGGGGAAUGCCUGGUGUAGCGGUGAAAUGCUUAGAUAUCAGGAGGAACAUCGGUGGCGUAGGCGCUUUACUGGGCCGUAAUUGACGCUGAGGAACGAAAGCCAGGGUAGCAAAUGGGAUUAGAUACCCCAGUAGUC